AGCUCCAAAAGCGAAUGUUGAUUCUGCUGAAGUUAAAAAGCUCGUAGUUGUAAUUUAGGUUUUGGUUGGUGUGGAGGCGGACGAAAGUCCCUUCCCUCUUGCCUUGACCUUUUGUGCAGGGAACCCGUCUUCGGGCGGUGGAUCUGUGCCGUUUACUGUGAGGAAAUCCGCUCGCUCAAAGAACCCGUAUGGGUGUAGAGUUCAGCACGGAAUGAUAAGAUACGACUUUUCGUUGUCUUGUUGGUUUGCAAUGGAAGUAAUGAUAAAUAGGAACAGUUGGGGGUACUUGUAUUGGCGAGCUAGAGGUGAAAUUCUGGGAUUUCGUCAAGACAAACGACUGCGAAAGCAUUUACCAAGGAUGUUUUCAUUA
This 370-nucleotide ribosomal RNA is filed under the name Amphifilaceae sp. Its description in RNAcentral is "partial small subunit ribosomal RNA". It matches the Rfam family "Eukaryotic small subunit ribosomal RNA", at positions 587 to 975 of the family's 1831-position model. The record is from RNAcentral. Lineage: Eukaryota; Bigyra; Amphifilida; Amphifilaceae.